UGAUCCUUAUUUAUCAAACCCUAGGUCCUUUAAUCAGUUAAGUACAAUAUAUAAUUUAAGAAUUAACCACUCUGCAGUUCUUCCUGAUCUCUCCACUAGACCCUGUGAGUGGACUAAUAUUCCCCAUUUUGAUCAUGGAAUUUGCAAAAUCAUUAAAGAAAAGCUUGCUGUUAUUGCUGUAGCUUUCAACAAUACUUUUGGUUGUGGAAACAGCCUCACUGCUUGAAUAUAGAAUUUGGUCUGAACCAAGCAGGCCCUUAUUGUUUAUCAAAUUCUGGAAAUAAUGGUUAUCAAAUAGAUCGGUGGAGUUUCGAUCAAAAGCUGUGGUCUUGUUUCCAUCACCGUUCACUGGACACAGGCUUUGCAGAUCAGACAACAUAUUUGAAUCCAAUGUGCUGUCAGGAGCUCCAGUUCCUGAGAAGUUGAACAACCUAUUGCUGAAGGUGGCACAUUUUGCUAGACCAAUUGUGUGAGAACCUGAUAAGGACACAACAUCAGUGAUGUUGAGGCCAACAGCAGCAAACUUGGCAAUGAUUGCAUUUAGUCCUUCAAAUGGAGAAGGCAAUGAAAGAUUUGCCUGCGCUUGGCUAGACACCAUCCCAUCUCUUCUUCCAAGGAGCACUUUCCAUGAUGGCCCUCCACUCAAGAGCGUAGAAUCUCGGGCCGCUAGGGCUAGUAUGUCAGCACAAGAUACAACUCCACUACACUGACUUUCCACGGCAGAUUUUAUAGCGUCCACAACUUCAAAUCCUCUUGCUGAGUUAAUGUUAGCCACGGAGAACUUCUCAACAUCAGUUCCAUCCAGCAAAAUUGAUCCAUCACAACCCUCUAUUUUGAAGUCCACUGUUCACAACUGUUCACUGUUAAGAAUUAACAGGGACAAUUAGAUUAGUCACCGCUGCCAAUGCUCUUCCCUAUGUUAGAUUCUUCAUUCCUUCUGCUCAUCUUUCGCCACCUCGUCUUGCCUCUUAUUCCCAAAACCCUCACUCUUAGACAAUUCCUUCUCCUCCUCCUUUGCAAUCAAUUUUUCUAUUUCGACAUCAUUCCUCACUUCUUCACCUUUUGCGUCAUCCUCCUUCUCAAUUACUUCAUUACUAACUACAAACUCACUUCCUACAAUUUUAUUCUCGAUCACGUCUUUCCCAAUUUCGACAUUAUAAGAUACAGUCUCUUGCAUACAAACAUCACGACUCUCCUUAACAUCAUUUCUAACACUCCUAACUUCUCCACUCCCACUCACAUACUCCAUCACCUCCCCAUUAUUCUCAUUUCCAGUCGCACCAUCAUCUGAUCCACCGUCACUCUCAUUCUCAUUUUCAUCAUUCUCAUAAACAUUUUCCACAACCUCCUCAUUCACAUCUUCAACAGCCAAAACGCUGCUUCCCUGACCUUGAUGCCUCUCCAAGAACUGCAACCUCCUCCUCAAAUCCCCCAACUCUCUCUCCAUCAGAAACAACCUCUCUUUCAGUGUCAAAUUCUCUUCUUCCAAUUGUGCUAUAUGGGUAUCUUGAUCAUCCACCCUAUUCUCCAAGACAUUGUUGUAACUACAAUCCCCACCUCCAUAAGUCGGGUAAAUCAUCUCAAACCUACUCAAAUCAUGGUCCAAUCUCCUUUCCACCUCCACAUGUUCUUCGACAUCACUCUCACUCGACCCAUUCCCCUCAUCUUCCUCCUCCUCAUCAUUAACCUCCGCUUCAUUUCCAGGUGAUCUCAGUCUUAUCAGACCCUUCAUGGACCCAUAUCCAUCAACACCCCAUUCUUCCUUUGCCAUGUCACCCAAUACCUCCCUUGACGGCGAGAAUAUCGGAGUGGGCAAAACAGCAGGGGUCACCGGACAAGGGGAUACUAAGGAUGCGAUGCCUCCGGCUUUUUUCGCACGGAUAAUAAAAGACGUUGUGUUUCGGGGCGCAAAAGGAGCAAACCGAUUGUUGAACUUUUUCUUUGGGUGAUAGUAUUUUCGAGCUUUCAUUCGGUUUUGGGUUUGGAGAUCAUUCAGGCUAGGGGGCUUGUAACCACUGGCACCACUAGGUCCGCCGGCAGCCAAGGCGGAAUUUGAGAUAAUGGGUUUAUUUGACAUGGGCUUUUCCAUUCUUCUCUGGUCCUUGUUGAUAUUUUUGCCCUUCCAAUUAGUGUUGCUUCUGGGUUUUGAAGGGAGAAAGUUAUUACUAAUAUUAUUAUUGAACUUCAAAGGGUUUUGUUGAUUCUGGAACUUCUUGUUCGCAUCCAUUGAAGACUGUUGCUGCGGUGGCCACGGCUUGUAGCUUCUAUUAUUCAUCAUCAUCAUGAUCGGAGGUUGCUGCUGGUUCAUUGGUCCACCAUGGCUCAUCCUCUGAGACUGAGACUGAACCGGGUUCAACACCUGGUGAGGAGGCUGGUUCAUGGCCUGAGAUUGAACCAGAGCCGCCGGAUUCUGGUUCAAAAUCUGAGGCUGAACCGGAUUCAUUACCUGAGGUUGACUCAUCAUCUGUGCCUGACUCAUCAACUGCAGUGGAUUCAUCAUUUGGGAUUGAUCGUCCAUUCUCUCACCCAGAAACCCUAAAUAGAAAUUGGAGUAAAAACCUUUGUGGGUUUUGAAAUCUAAAGCAAAAGAAUCAAUCUAAGGAACGAAAAUCCAAAAAUCUCUGAUUCAAUUUUGGAUCUUAAAUUUUGCUUGCCGAUUUCGAGAGAUCUUGGAAUUCCUCUAUCGGUUUUAAAAGGGCCGUUUCGAGUACCUUGAACAGGCAUGAAACGUAUGAGAUUCCUUUUAUAGGGGAUAAGGG
This 2759-nucleotide unclassified non-coding RNA is filed under the name Hevea brasiliensis (rubber tree). Lineage: Eukaryota; Viridiplantae; Streptophyta; Magnoliopsida; Malpighiales; Euphorbiaceae. The record is from RNAcentral.